Molecule: ribosomal RNA, 468 nt
Filed under: uncultured bacterium
Lineage: Bacteria
Description: partial 16S ribosomal RNA
Rfam family: Bacterial small subunit ribosomal RNA
Source: RNAcentral
GAUGAACGCUGGCGGCGUGCUUAACACAUGCAAGUCGAACGGUGAAGGCGGAGCUUGCUCUGCUGGAUCAGUGGCGAACGGGUGAGUAACACGUGAGCAAUCUGCCCCUGACUCUGGGAUAAGCGCUGGAAACGGCGUCUAAUACUGGAUACGAGCUGCGAAGGCAUCUUCAGCAGCUGGAAAGAAUUUCGGUCAGGGAUGAGCUCGCGGCCUAUCAGCUUGUUGGUGAGGUAAUGGCUCACCAAGGCGUCGACGGGUAGCCGGCCUGAGAGGGUGACCGGCCACACUGGGACUGAGACACGGCCCAGACUCCUACGGGAGGCAGCAGUGGGGAAUAUUGCACAAUGGGCGGAAGCCUGAUGCAGCAACGCCGCGUGAGGGACGACGGCCUUCGGGUUGUAAACCUCUUUUAGCAGGGAAGAAGCGAAAGUGACGGUACCUGCAGAAAAAGCGCCGGCUAACUACGUG